This 398-nucleotide transfer RNA is filed under the name uncultured marine alpha proteobacterium. RNAcentral's name for it is "16S-23S intergenic spacer region". The stretch from base 100 to 173 matches the Rfam family "tRNA". The record is from RNAcentral. Lineage: Bacteria; Pseudomonadati; Pseudomonadota; Alphaproteobacteria.
UCUAAGGAUGAAUGAAAGUAAAAUUUCAUUCUAAAUAAUAUACAUCGGUAAUGUUGACCGUCCUCAUUUCUCUUCUUAAAGUAAUGUUUCCUUCUUGUAGGGCCGGUAGCUCAGUUGGUUAGAGCACACCCUUGAUAAGGGUGGGGUCGAAAGUUCGAGUCUUUCUCGGCCCACCAUACUUAACUGGGGGAUUAGCUCAGCUGGGAGAGCGCCUGAUUUGCAUUCAGGAGGUCAGCGGUUCGAUCCCGCUAUCCUCCACCAGGAAACAUUUAGUUAUAAAAACUGUAAAUAAAUUUAAUAAUUAAUAUCAAUAUCUAUAUCCGAACAUUAGUAAUGUUAUUAGCUAAUGUUCAAAAUAAAAAUUUGAUUCAACACAGAAUUUUUUUCUGUGCAUAAAU